UACAGAGGGUGCAAGCGUUGUUCGGAAUUAUUGGGCGUAAAGGGCGCGUAGGCGGUGCGGUAAGUCUGUCGUGAAAUCUCUGGGCUCAACUCAGAGUCUGCUGCAGAAACUGCCGUGCUUGAGUGUGGGAGAGGUGAGUGGAAUUCCCGGUGUAGCGGUGAAAUGCGCAGAUAUCAGGAAGAACACCCGUGGCGAAAGCGGCUCUCUGGAACGGUACUGACGCUGAGACGCGAAAGCGUGGGGAGCGAACAGG
RNAcentral lists this ribosomal RNA (253 nucleotides) under uncultured bacterium. RNAcentral describes it as "partial 16S ribosomal RNA". It matches the Rfam family "Bacterial small subunit ribosomal RNA", at positions 524 to 776 of the family's 1533-position model. The record is from RNAcentral.